RNAcentral lists this unclassified non-coding RNA (320 nucleotides) under plant metagenome. RNAcentral describes it as "partial contains 5.8S ribosomal RNA, internal transcribed spacer 2, and large subunit ribosomal RNA". The stretch from base 1 to 105 matches the Rfam family "5.8S ribosomal RNA", at positions 50 to 154 of the family's 154-position model. The record is from RNAcentral.
GAAAUGCGAUAAGUAAUGUGAAUUGCAGAAUUCAGUGAAUCAUCGAAUCUUUGAACGCACAUUGCGCCCGCCAGUAUUCUGGCGGGCAUGCCUGUUCGAGCGUCAUUACAACCCUCAGGCCCCCGGGCCUGGCGUUGGGGAUCGGCGGAAGCCACCUGCGGGCACAACGCCGUCCCCCAAAUACAGUGGCGGUCCCGCCGCAGCUUCCAUUGCGUAGUAGCUAACACCUCGCAACUGGAGAGCGGCGCGGCCACGCCGUAAAACACCCAACUUCUGAAUGUUGACCUCGAAUCAGGUAGGAAUACCCGCUGAACUUAAGC